CAAAGCUGGACACUUAACCAAUGGAGCCAUGCAGGUGCCCCAUGGGAUUGACUUUUUUUACUCAGUCUAAUUCUCUGGAGAUUCAUCCAAGUUAUUGCAUGUAUCUGUAGUUUGUUUCUUGUUAUUGCUGAAUAGGAUUCCAUGUUGUAGAUGUUCACAGAUGUGUCUGUCCCUCUGCCAACCCCACACAGUCUUGAUUAUUGUAGCUAUCUAAUAAGUCUAAAAUUGAGGAGGCUGAUUUCACCUACUUUAUUCCUCUUUUUCUGAGUUGUUUCAGUUAUUUUAAUUAUUUUAGUUCCUCUGUCUUUCCAUAUAAAGUUUGGAAUUUUCUCGUCUAUCUUCAUUAGAAAAUCUUGUUGGGAUUUUGGUAGGAAUUGUGUUAAAGCUGUAUAUCAAUUUGGGGAGUAUUGACAUCCUUACUAUGUUGAAUAGUAAUCCAAUCCGUGAACACAUAUGUCUCUACUUAGACCAUAUUUGAUUUCUUUCAUCAGUGUGGUGUAGUUUUCAGCAUACAAGCUCUGUACAUGUUUUGUUAGAUUUACACCUAAGUAUAUAAUUUUUUAAAAGUGAUUGUAAAUGGUACCAUAUUUUUACUUUUGGUGUCCAUGAAUUCAUAGCUAAUGUAUAGAACCAUAAUUGGUUUCUUUAUAUUUGUCUUGUAUCUGGCAACCUUACUGAAUUCCAAGAAUAGUUUUAGGUGUUUCUUUUUGUAGGUUCCUUCGGACUUUCUGUGUCUACUUAUUCUCAGUUCAUGCCUCAUGACCAGAAUUGAUUGAUCGCCUCCCAAGUGAAGAGCCUCUGCCUGCACGUCUUACUGCACCCACUUCCUCUCUCAGCACUGCUCCCCCAAAUGCUGGUCUGUCUCUGGUAGGUUCUGGCUCUGCCCCUCCCCACCUCAGUGCUCUGUUUCUCUGUCUCUCAAAACAAAUAAACUUAAAAAAGUUAUAUAUAA
Molecule: long non-coding RNA, 952 nt
Organism: Herpailurus yagouaroundi (jaguarundi)
Lineage: Eukaryota; Metazoa; Chordata; Mammalia; Carnivora; Felidae
Exons: 2
Source: RefSeq, a predicted model, not a curated record